This 44230-nucleotide long non-coding RNA is filed under the name Coffea arabica (coffee). RNAcentral describes it as "long non-coding RNA (CARA_LNC002336)". Lineage: Eukaryota; Viridiplantae; Streptophyta; Magnoliopsida; Gentianales; Rubiaceae. The record is from RNAcentral.
UUUUUUUUUUUUUUUUUGCUGAACACACAAAACAAACUCACACAAUAAUCUCCACCACUAAUGGCAGCAUUCGAAAAGCCCACAGAUACCCAAAAUGUUCUGCUUAGUGCUUAUUAUUUUCAAAGAAAUAACAGCAAAAAGAUUGACAAUAAGCUUCGCAGCAGGAAGAGUUUGCUGGCCAAGAAAUCCAGCAGUUGCAUUGGAUCUGCGUUCAACAGGUGCCAACACAACGAAACAGAAACCUCAAACACUCACAACCAGGGCAACACUUGUCCCGAAAACAGCCUCCAUUGGUAUAAGCACAUGCAUUUUCUCCGUGGCCAUCCUUAAUCCCAAACACUUUAAUGAGUUUUUCGUCCUGAAGCAAUUUAAGAGUAAAAUUGUCCGUGCAACCUGUUCAAAAUGGACACUAGCUUCUUUUCCACUCUUUUGUACUGCAUUUUUCAAGUCCUUUCUAUGAGUGCAAUUGAUUUUAUGAUCAGUACGCAAAGGAUUUAUACUUUGGGAAAGGAAAUGUUUUCUGCAUCUUAUGUGAUUUCUUGGAUAAGUGGACUGACUUUGUUAUAUUGAUAUUUAAAAUAGAAGAGUUACGUGUAAUAUUCAAAACUUUAAAGGAGACAAAUGAAAUUAUCACAAACCUAAGGGAGGAGCAUGAAAUCAUGCCUAAUAUGAAUAUAAAGAAACCAUGAGUAUGACAAUUAAAUGAAACUAAGAAAUUAGUAAAAAUAAAUGAAACUAAUGAAAAGGUGGUAUAGAAAGAUAAACGAGAUUAAUUAUUAACUAUGAGAAUAUGACGAAUAAAUGAAUCUUGUUAAAAAAAGAUUCAAUAGCCAUGUGACAAAGUCUCCAAAUAACUGCUUACCCCCAUCCCAGCCCCCCUGCCCCCAACACAAAUUAUUAAAAAAAAAAAAAAAAAGGUUCUAAAUUAGAAAUGGCCAAUUUGAGCGAGACUUCCCAAGUACGCUGGAGAUGCGUAAAUCGGAUUAGGGUGUACUGGUCUAUCAAAACCGCAUUUAGCAGCCACUUCUAGGAAAAGGGUCAGGACUUAGAAGCUCCUAAAUUAGGUACCUUUCAGUCUAGCUAAUGAUGAUGAUUGGAUUAGCCUCCUUUCCCACGGCAAAUUUUCCACUCGUAAGCUUUCUUAAUUACUCUAUAAACCAUGUAAGUUGGUGCAACAUUAAAAGCUUCACAGUUGUGCAUGCAUGCAACAAGUUCUGAAACUUGAGGGGAAGAGGGGGGGGGGGGAGAGCAGAUCCUCUGUCCAAUUUUUUGCGUCCAAUUUCCUGUCCAAUAUGAAACUACGUAGUUUCAUUUAUUAUAUCUGCUGAUGUGGCAACUAAAAAUAGGUGGCUGUUUGGCUGCCUUAUACUUCUUUUUCUUUCUUCUUUUUUGGAUUUCCUUUGUUUACACAACUUUGUUACGAUUCUCAUCUUUUUUAAAACAAAGUAUCAAGGAUUUCAAAUACAAAAGAAUAUUUAAAAAAAAUGGGAAUUGUAAUAAAGUUGUGUAAACAAAGGAAAUCCAAAAAAUAAAAAGAAGUAUAAGGCAGCCAAACAGCCACUUAUUUUUAAUUGCCACAUCAACAGAUAUAAUAAAUAAAACUACGUAGUCUCACAUUGGACAGAAAAUUGGACACAAAAUAUUGGACAGAGGAUCUGCUCUCGGGGGUGGGUGGGGAAGGGGGAAGGGGAUUUCUGAUUUUGGGAAAUGAGACUAGGAAAUAUACUGGUGUAAAAAAAAAAUACUGGAGUCUGAUUCUUAAAUUAGUUAUUAUUUUGAUGGCUUUAUUAUAUAUUCAGAACUGAGAAAAGCAUUUAUCAGGAACAAGUACAAAUCAAUGAAGAAAUCAUAUUGAAAACGCUCCUAACCCUACCCCAUCCUUCGUAGACCCGUGAAUUCUAACUAAUCUAAACUUUCCUGGAGCUCCACUUCCUUGAUUUUUUUUUCCCACUUCCUUGAUUUCCAAUUGAAGGAGGAACUCUAUCCAUGGCAGAAAGUUCAUAGACUCGAGUAUAUCAAACAUGAGAUGUAGUAUGUUGCUUUGUGGAACAAAAGUGAAGAGCUAAAGGCUACCCUUUGAUCUUGGGAGAUCAAACUGUAGUAAGUUGUCCUCAAUCGGAUGCGCGCCAAUGACAAUUGAGGUCUUCGGCAAAGAAGCAGAACGAGCAUAAUCCACGAAACCAAGACGCAUGACAUCCAAAACCAUCAAGUUUGCACCAGAAAUCCUCCACUGCACACUUUUCUUAUGGAGCACAAGAUCAAUUGGAGGUACCUGUGGACCGACUUUCAAGCUAGGAAUGCCUCUGAAGCAUGCCUCAAAAGGUGCCACUGGGGUCACUCCAGUGACACUAGGGGGAAGUUCUCUAAUGAAAGCUGCUUUCACAGCCAUGUAAAUGGAAUGGAAGUCUCUCAGACAGUAUAAGGAUCAACUGUGCUGCUUUUAGUUCCUCCAUUGCCAUCAUUGUCGAAGGACAGAAAUGUUGCAUUCAAUGGCACUGCUUUACCACUGACUCUGAUAGAUUUCACCCCAAUUAAGUAGUCAGAGAAAACUCUCUGUCCACCAUAUCGCGUACGAAUUGGAUUCGAGAGCAAUGGGGCGUACGUAAAUCAAAGACUUGGAGAUAUCAAUGGUAUGGGAAAGCAUAAGAUUAUUGGGCAAAUCACCGAAAACUAUGAAGCCACUGGCUUUGACCGAAGAGCUUAAACAAAUAGCAAAUUUCCUUUGGAAACUAGAAGUCUGAGUUAAUUGCUUUGGAAGAGAAACUAAGCUUCUUCCCAACCCUGCCAUUCCUUCAACUCCUCUAGCUAGAUUGUUGGUGUAUUUUAAUAAAAUCUUAACUUUUUCCUUGACCAAAUCUUUACAAGGAGUUAUAAUAAUUUAUUUGGGAGUUAUGGGAAUUAUAAUUGUGGGAGUUACAAUGCAUUUUGAAUGGAGUUAUUGUACAAUUAUUUGAAUUAGAGUUACAAAUGAAUUAUUUGUUCAAAUGAGAAAUUAUUGAGUCAUUAUAAGCCAUUCAAAUGUGAAUUAAUUUUUAGGUUACAAAUUCUACCAAUUAUUAGGUUACAAAUUCUACCAAUUAACUACAAUUUAAUAUGAAAAAACCGUUACACAUUGGAUUUCCUUUUCUUAAGGUUUUGUAGCCUAUAAAUAGUGAAAUUCUCCAAAGAAUUUGACACACACCUCUCUCAACAAAAUAUCAUUCUAGAUACUAUUUUUCUCACACUCAUUUCUUUCUCCCUCAUUCUAUUUUCUUUGGGCAAAGUAAGAUAUUGGGAAGCUUCUGCUUCUCUUGGUUGUGCAGAUCAAAGGGAAGCAACAACUAUAGAGUUGGGCUGUUGUAUCCUGGAGACGGCGUGCUAGACCUUCUGCAUCAGUUUAAAAAAUACCGUAGGGGCGCGUAUCGUCUUAAAGAGAGCGUUCUACGCGCCUCAACCCUACCGAACUUUUUAGUAGCUGUCAAUUCAAGGUAGUCGGAUUGAAGAUCAGAAGCUGUUCAUCCAAUAAUUUUAAGAUUUAGUUCGCGCAUCAACCCAUGCCAAAAUAACUUUUGAUGGUACCAAUUAUUUGCAUUUAUUUAAUGCAAUAUUGAGGUAUGAGAUUUUGUUAAUUUCUUUGUUAAAUUUUACCAGAGAAAUUACUAUUACUUAUAUGGUUAAUUUGGUCUAGUACCAACAUAGAUUAUUCCCAAGAAACCAUGUAGGCACACAAGUGAAGACAAAGGGUGGAACCGAAACAGAUUGCCCUGUGGUGGAUUGACUUGAGAGAACAUCUUCAGCAGCCUCACCACCGCUGUAGGAAGUUCCGUUGACCAAAUUAACCGGAAAUGUGCAGUACUAUGAAGGACCACUCACAAAGCAGCUAUCUCCACAAGCAAUAGAUCUAACCAGAAUACUAUGGGCUGAGUGGCAGUUCACACUCUUAUAAGAUGAGUUUUUGUAGCCUUCUUCACAAAUCACAACCCACCCAUACCGAUUCUCCACCUAGAUCAGCAGUUAGUUUUACGAGGACUAGGGGUGUCCUUUGGUGAAUAAGGGUGGUGUACUGAAGUGCGGAGGAGUCUUUGGUCACGGGGAGGAUAAGUGCUAUCGUUAGUCAUCUCAGUCAAGUCAAUAUCGGAACGGAGGGGAUUAAUAUGAUAUCGAUCCCCGAAUCGUGGAUAACUUUAUAUCCGUGGAGACUCGCUCUGACGCGACUGAUAUUAACCAAUUCAAAUCCGUAAUAUAUGGAAUCGACCAAACUAUUCAAAUCGACUGGAGUCGACUUGGAUAUUUUUUUCAAAUUAUGCCCUUUAGGAUAUUUUCUAUUUUUAGUAAUUUUUUCCAAAAGUUUUGGAAAUUUUAUGUGCUAUAGUAUGUGUAUCAUUAGAAAUAUAACCGAUAUGCUGCAACGGGUGAAACAACCACAACCGCGACCCGUAACGGCGAACCAUGUUUGGGCCGGAAAGAUGUUUUGGCUAUGGAUGGAGUGCUGAUAAGCAGUAAUAGGAGAAGAAAGCAGAGGGAAAAAGGAGAAAUGCCAUAAUGCAAAGCCAUAUGGCAAUUGGGACAAUAGGGAAGGUGGCUAUGGUGGAUUACAUGUUAUAUGUAGAUGUACGCAGAUCAGGUUGGUUGGUAACUACUAUUUCUUGUAUUUUCACACGUUACUGUCUUAUCGUCUAUAUUUAUUUGUGUUAGCGUAUACUAUAUUAUUUCGUCUACUAAUGACUGACAAUUGAAGAGGCCCGGGAUCCAUUUGUAAACAUAGCCUUAGGAAGAAUGAAGUUUUCCUCAUUUUGGUCAAGAAAUUAGAACUGGUCUACAAUUUAUUAUCCACCAACAGUGCAGAAUAAAUAGAUAUACAAAUAGGAGGAUAAGGAUAAGUAACUCAGCACGCCAUCGCUGCCCAUUGUCCACUGAGUUGUGGAUCUCGGGGGAGAUUAACGCCCAUAAAAGUGCUAAACAAUGAGGCCAUGAGAUUUGGUUCCCGGCAUAUCAUUAAAGGUUCCCGUUUUAGGAACAAGCUACAAACUCAUGAAAAUCAAUGCACUGCUUAGUAUGUUAAGGGUGGAGACAAUUAUCUAGAUCCUAGUGUCUAAUGACUGGAGGAUCUUGAGGUAACACUUAAAAAAUAGGUAAACAAUUGAGGCAAUAAUGUUGUUGAUCGUCUAGGCCAUGAGAUUUGGGUCUGGACUUUACUAGUUGAAACUUCCAAUUUGGGAAAGAAGACGUUCUAGUUGCAAACUCAUUAAAAUCAUUGCACUAGUCAAUAUGUUAAGGCAGGAGCAUAUUUGUAUAUCAGGGACUUGGUGCAGGUACAGUCUAAAGUUUUCGUAUGCAUAAUUUUGUGUAUACUUCAAUAACUUGUUACACGUACUUGUAAAGUUUUUUCGUAUACACCAACUCAUGCAUGAACAUAAUCGUAUAGGCAAGUGUGCAUUAUAUUUUGAAAGAGGAACAACAGCAGCAGCACCUAAUUCUUGUUUCACAAUGAUUUUCAUUUUUUUUAAAUGUAAAUGGUAGAUUUCGAACCCAAAAUCUCUUACUUCUACUUUAUCCUCCUAUACAACCCAACCCAUUCAUCUCCCUGUAUAUCCGAUGCAUUGACUGUAUCAUAAAAUAUCUGCUUCACAAAGUUUAUAGUUUAAUCACUUUAUUCCCUAUGUUUGACAUGUGUCAGCGUAGUAUGUACAAUUUUCAAUAAGUUGAGGGAAAAAAUCAUCAAACCAGCAUUAAAACAAAUGCAUUUUUAAAGAAUACAUUUGUUUGGGUAAUUGGGACAACAUGAUUUUCUCUCGCAAUCCAUGUAUUCUUGUAGAUGAAAUAUUUUCCGUACUGAAAUCAUAUUUGACACCAAGAAGUUAUUUUGAGUAAUUGAUCAAUAUUUAGAAAACAAUUCAGUCAUUUUGUUAAGGAAAUUUUUAGCUAUGAACAUGCAAGGUAAAAGAUUAUAUUUACUGAAAAACAAUUUUGGCAAGGAUUUGGCAAAUAAUAAUGGUGGGUACUGGUUUGUUCAUAUAUAUGAUUUUGGUUUAGCAAAUGUUGGGCCUGAAAUAUGGAGAAGGAAAUGAGAAACUCACCAUCAGCGACCAAGGCCCAUUGGAUUUUACUGCUAGUUCCAAGAUUUAAAUCUUGGACCUGGGUAGUGGUGGGUGGAAAUUGGGAAAGAAUUGAGGUGAGAUGACAGGUUAAAAAAAAAAAAAGCUUAAACAAAAAAUAAUAAUAAUUCAAAAUUUUCUAAUAGAUGUCUAGUAGGUAAUCGUUAAUACAUUUAAAUUAUACCCAAUUUAUUAUAUGAAAGCACACCUGAAGCCCUUCUUAAGGGGUACCCAUUUGGCACCUGUUAGUCAAAUCUUUUCUUUCUUUCUUUUUUUUUUUAGUAAGGGAUGGUAGCUUGAUCUCAAAUUAUGUACAAACUAGUGCUAAGGGCAUAGAUUAUGUCUAGGCAAAAUAAAACAAAGAAUUGAGAUGAAACUAAGAUAUGUAACAAAAGCAGUUACUCGAAACAUUUAUUAUUUUGAGCAUCAAUUGCAACAAAAUGUCUAACUCUCAUUGUUGAUCUUAUAAAUAAAUUAGAAUUGAAAAAUGAACCAAACUACUCGAUACUCAAAUCGAAUUUAGCUUGGUAAGAGUUCAUUGGAAUUUGGUUCACCAACUAUUCAUCCCAAAUUUGAACAGCGUUCUACGUUCGAUGACAUUUAAAUUCGAUAAAAUGCUCAUUCAAAUUCAGUUCACAUAUAAACAAGUCAAGUUUGAACAAAUUUUCAAACUCAUUAAGAUAAUCAAAACAAGUUUGAACACUAGGGUGUUUGUUUAUACCCCUAAACUAAGUUAAGGGAGUACCUCUCUUCCGCCCACUAGCUCUGCAAGAGAUAGAAGUACUAGAUAUAGAUUUUACAUAUGAAUAGUGAUGAAGUUACAUUUUAUGUAUGUGCAUACAAUAAAAUUGGGAUUAACUUUAUAUGCACUGAUAAUGUAUAUAAUAUCACCAUUAGAUGAAUGACACACAUGUAAAAUUUAGUUUCAAAUUCAAAAUCAGAUUAGUUAUCAUACAUCCAACGAUAAUAGUGAAUGCACUAUUAGUGUAUAGACGAUUAAUCUAUAAAAUUAUAAUUAUUUGUAAAUUUUAAAUUAAUAUUAUUAAAUUUUAAACUUUGAAACCUCAAAGUUUUGGGUCUCAAUUUUAAUCAAUAAAUCACGUCAUCUUUGGCAUAAAACCACUAAAAUUGGUAAAUAUUGUAGCUUGAUAUCAAAUUAUGUACAAACUAGUGCUAAGGGCAUAGAUUAUGUCUAGGCAAAAUAAAACAAAGAAUUGAUCUGAAAUUGAGAUAUGUAACAAGGGCAGUUACUCGAAACAUUUGUUAUUUUCAGCGUCAAUUGCAACAAAAUGUCUAACUUUCAUUGUUGAUCUUAUAACUAUGUUAGGAUUGAAUUGAAAAAUAAAUCAAACUACUCAAUACUCGAAUCGAACUCGGUUUGGUAAGAACUCAUUCGAGUUCGAUUCACCAACUAUUCAAUCCAAAUUUAAACAGUGUUUUAUGUUCAAUAAUAUUCAAACUCGAUAAAAUGCUCAUUCAAACUCGGUUCGCAAAUAAACAAGCCAAACUUGAACAAACUUUUAAAUUCAUUAAAAUAAUCAAACAAGUUUGAAUACUAGGGUAUUCGUUUACACCCCUAAACUAAGUAAAAGAAGUAACUCUCUUCCACCCACUAGUUCCGCAAGGGAUAAAAGUAUUAGAUAUAGAUUUUACGUUUGAAUAGUGAUGAAAUUACACUUUAUGUAUGUGCAUACAAGAAAAUUGGGAUUAACCUUAUAUACACUGAUAAUGUAUAUAAUAUUAUCAUUAGAUGAAUGACACACAUGUAAAAUUUAGUUUCAAAUUCAAAAUCAAAUUAGCUAUUAUACAUUAAACGGUAAUAGUAUAUGUACUAUCAGUGUAUAGAAGAUUAAUCUAUAAUAUUAUAGUUAUUUGUUGAUUUUAAUUUAAUAGGAGUUAGUUUUACAUUUUAAAAACUAAUUUGUUAAGAAGUUUAUAAAAAUAUAAAUAUAUAGAUGUACAAUUUUUUGGUAGUUAUAUAGGAUCACUAGCGGAACAAAGACGGGCAGAGAGGGUAGUCGCCUCCCCAGAAGUUUGAGAAUUCUUAUUUUGCACUUCUAUUUUACCUUAUUGUGUUGAUAUUUAGUUUUUGCCGCCCCAAACUUGAUAACUUUUGAGUCUAUUAAUUACAUGCUUUGCUUUCUAGUAUAAUUAAUUUAUGAGUAAAAAUUCUUUAAGAUAUUUAAUAACUAUCAUCUUAGAUUUUGAGCUAUAUCUUACAGUAACUAAUAUAAUGUAUUUGACUUUAAUCUUUAUGCUGACAAAAAAUAUUUUAAUUUAGUAUUUCUUCAUUAACAAACAAAAAAUUAUAUUCAGUCUUGGAAAAGAAAUUUGAAUAGUACAUAUAAAUUUAGGAUAGCUGAAAAUUGGGUUAAAGAUAAAGCAGCGCUUGAGGAUUGAGUUACUAGAGCAAAAAAAUAGGGUACUCGAUACAUUUCAAUUAUAACACACACAGAGGUAUAUAUAUAUAUAUAUAUAUAUAUAUAUAUAUAUAUAUAUACACACAUACAUAGUAUCACAAUUUUAUUGUGAGUCUGUUAUAAAGAUCUCUAAUUUUUUUUAAUUAAUGAACAUGUUAUUGUCCUAUGAUCCCACCCCCCCCCCCGGCCCCAAAGCCCAGUCCCGAAGUUGAAAUUCUGGUUCCACUAGUAUAUAUUGAUGGUAACUAACAUUAUUUAUAAUUUCUCUUUUUUUUAAAAAAAAUAAGGUCUGACCAUUGUAUAUUUGCUUGUAAGAGUAAAAUAAGAACUUCAAAAGAUGGCAAAAAUGAUAACACCAUAAGUCUCCUUAAACUUUAUAAAUAACAUUUUAUUAAAUUUAAAAGGACUAAGGGUCUGUUUGGUUGGAAGUAAAAUGUUUUUCUUAGGAAAAUAUUUUCCGUGGAAGUAAUUUUCCAUGAAAAUCAUUUCCCUUUCAUCAUUUUCAGGUGUUUGGUUAGCUUAUUGAAAAUAUUUUCUUACUUCAUUUUUCUGGUGUUUGUUUAACUUUUGAAAUAUUUUUACUUUUAUCUCUAUCGUUACUUUCUACACAUUAUAACUACAUACUUCUUCCCAUGUAAAAUAAGAAAAUUUAUCUCAUUGUUUAACUUUAAAAAAUCUUGGAGAAAUGUAUAUAUGAAUAAAAAAUAUCUCCUUAAGCAAUAAACAAAUUGCUGGCCAUUUAGUGUCAAAUAUCAAUCACAUGCAAUGCUUAUUAUGACAUAUAUCUUGCACUCUCACUGCUGAAAGUUCUCUAGAAAAGAAUUAUACAUAAUUAAUUACUAGCAUAGGAUGAGCAGGAUGAGGUUUUUUUUUUUUUUUGAAUAUACUAGGGGGAGGGUUGGGUUGGGUUGGGUGGUAUGGGGAAGGGAGUGUAAGGAAGAGGUCUUAAGUUCGAGUCCUCCUGUUUACACUAAAAAAAAAAAAAAGAACAUACUACAAGAUGUUUUCAGUAAAUUUGGAACAUACUACAGGCGGGAUGCAUGCAUUUCGGAAAACAACUUCAGUAAGUUUGAAAGGGAAGUUGUUUUCCAUAAGAUGAGUGAAAAUAUUUUACAUAGGAAAUUGUUUUCAGUAACUUUUGUGCAACCAAACACGGGAAAUUAGGAAAAUAUUUUUCUGGAAAACAUUUUCACCCGAAACAAACGGACCCUAAAAGUCUUAAAUUACUCACUUAAAGAUCAUGGAAUUAGUUUAUUUUACAUGCACUCUUUAAAUGCCAUCACAUUCCUAGCCCCUGCCUUUCUGAUACAAAUGAUCAUUUGAAUAUUUUGACUAUUGGACAUGAGACAAACACCAGGAUAAAUUCCAACAUCAUGUUAAAAUGCUAUGAAAUAAGAACAGAAUUGGCUUUGGUGUCAAGUUUCCCCAUUUUUUGCUUCUUUGACUCUUAUUUUUCUUUUUUCUUUUUUUUACCCUUUCCUUCUUUUUCUUUGACAAUCGAAUGAUAGAGGGAUGAGUUGAAUGAUUCGGGAGAGAGAUCGAACACUCCUACUUAUACUAAGGGAAAAAAAACACAGUUCCAACGAACCAUUUUCUGGUCCAAGCGAAGCUUCACUUUUGACUAUGUUAAUCGCAAGAAGCAAACCACCCAGACACUUUCCUCCUUUUGUGCUGAUUUUUUUUCCCCUUGUCUCUUGAUCUCAUCCUCUAUCAUAUAACCAAACACCAUCCAUGGUGUGCGUUUGUCACCAUGGCCUCCAUCUCACAACACCACCAUGACAGCUAAAUCCUUAAAAUCAAUUAGGAGAGAGAGAGAGAGAGAGAGAGAGAGAGAGAGAGAGAGAGAGAGGAGGGGAAGACAUUAAAUGAGAGAGAUAAGAUUUCAUACCUUUGAAAGGGGCAUGUGUGAUUCGGUUGAGAGAAACUUAGGACUUGGAGUUGCAAGAGAAAUAAGAAAUGAUUAAUCUUUCCUACACUGACAGCUUUAUCAGUAUUGGAUGAAUGACAACUAUGCAAAUUUUGAAUUUGAAAUUCAACUUUUACACACGUCAUGAAUCCAACGGUGAUAGUGUAUAUACUGUUAGUGUAAAUAAAAUUUACUCAACAAAAAAACACAAGAUUUAGGUUUCAUUAUUUGAUAGUAGCUUUGGACGCCCUAAUAAUUUUUAAUAUUCUAUUUUGUCCCCUAGAGUGUUAGAAAACUGUUAAUACAGCUAGAAACAUUUUGUAAUUUACAACUACAGUCCUAAAUUCUAGUACUACUUUUCAAAUAAGCCCACCAAUUCAAUUCUGAACUUGUUGAAUACGCAUUAAAUUAUAUAGAGUGCUACUUGAUUAUAUUACUUUAUUUGUACUUUCUUGUAAUAUAUCUUAGAAACAUCAAACAUAUUAAUACAUUUUUAGAAAUUUUAUAUAGUAUAUUAAUUUCUAAAAUUAAAUACAUUUAUGACACCACAAUAACAUCAUUCAAUUUUUAGAUGAAUCAACCUCUGGCCGAUCCCAUUAAUCCCUAAUCUCGACCGAGUCACAACUCGGUCCGAGUUUCAAAACACAGGCAUCAACCAUAAGAUGCACUCUGCAGAUGUACAAUUUGAUAGUCAAGUGAUCAGAGCCAGAGGAGAAGAAAUCUGAUCAAUGUCUGCCGAGCCACCUUGAUAAUGUGUCCAAAUUGUCUCUUCGGUGCUGAUGCUCUCUGGUAGCAUACUCCAUACAUGCCUUUUCAUGAUGAAUGUGAAAUUUUUGUGUUUUGUCUUUCUUAAAAAAGGAUGCAUAUGAUCAAAAGAAUUUCCAUUUGAUGGGGGGCACAUGUGUAAAUAUUUGCUGAAACGUAAUGAAGUCCAUUGUAUGUUCUUGAAAAUAAAAUAAAAUAAAAUAAUGAAAACCACAAUCAUGCAAGCACGUGGCUUUAACCUACAGGUGAGUUGUCUUAGAGCUUAUUCCAAUACAAUAAUUUGUCACUUCACGAGCGUCUCUUAAUUUGAUAAUGAAGUAAAUUUUUGUCAUGUAAAGGCUGCCUAAAAAGUUGAAAGUGCUCCUCGUGAAAACUUAUUUGGACUUAAUUUCCAAAAGGGAAUUAAGAAGAAGGCUGGAUUAACAAAAAUGAAGGAACAAUGAAAAGCUUAUACUAAGAAAAAUGGAAAACUGCAGCUCUUAAGGACCACCUGAAGAAGACAGGUUGACACUGAAUCUUCAGAGACAAAAAAUAAGUAUAAUCAACGUAGCCUUGUUCCCUAGAAAACAACUCACUUGAGAGUCUAGACCUAUUUUAAUUGGAGAAAUCUUUUCUUUAAUUCAAGAAAAAAAAAAAGAGCAACGAAUUCAAGAACUCCUCAAUCCUCACAAAAACCGAAAAUUGUCAUGAGUGGACCUUAAGAACGAGCCGCUACAUUUCCCGUGACAAAUUAGGACUAAAACUGAUGUACUUUCUUUGUUUUUUGGUAAGAUGUAAGUAGAGGUUUUGGCUAAUGCAGGGGUAGCUCACCCUCAUCAAGCUGUUCAGCUCUAUGAGCACUGGAAUGACUGGUCGCGGCUAGCCCGUGGAGGAGUUAGACUCGAUAGCAUGGGGUUGCCUUUCCUUAGGAAGGUGCGAAACUCCUAAUUCUCGAUCUUCUGUACUCUGAUCUUCUUUCUGUACUCCGGUUUCCACUAUGAAUAAUAGCGGGGGUGGCGGCGUCCCUCCCCGUUGUCGGGGUUAGACAAAAAAAAAAAAAAAAGAGAUUUUGAAUCUGGAACAUCUCACUUAUACUCUCUGCGUCUGUACCACCUAAUCAAUCCUUUCCUAGAUACAAUUGAUACACUCAUAUAUGAAAAUAAGUAUAAUCAAAGCAGCCUUUUUCCAUAGAAAACUACUCGGUUGAGAGUUAAGAUCUAUUUUAACUGUAGAAACCUCUUCUUCAAUUCAAAAAAAAAAAAAAGAGCAACGAAUUCAAGAACUCCUGAUAAAAACAGAAAAUUGCCAUCAGUGGGCCUUAAGAACGAGCCGCUACAUUUCCCGUGACAAAUUAGGACAACCUUUGCAUACAUCACUACAUUUUUUGGCCGACAGACGGCAUAACAUUUAUGAAAACGACCCUUAAUUAACUUAGAAUUCUGUAAUUUUUUUUUUUUAUAUUUUCAUACUUCAUACUAGAUAUAAAGGUGAGAAGAUAUAUAUCUCGUUAAUAAUAUUUUCAGUGUCCAAUUAAGGGUUGAAUAUUAUUGAAACAAAUAAUAGUCAUGGUAGUAUUUUCCUUUCCAUUUCUUUUACGUGGCAGCAGUACAAUCUUGCCCAGCAAAAGGGAUUAUAUUAGGCAGAAACUCUAUUUUACGGUGUUCUCUCCUCACGAUAGUAGCCCUUCAAAAUCUUGCUCUCAGCCUACAGAUUUCAUCAAAUUUAUAAGAUGUGAUGACAUAGAGACAAUGAACAAAUCUAUACUUAUUCAUCUGUUCUGACACCAAAUUCAAGUUCCAAUAUGCAAAUUUGUUCAACUACCUAGUUCUUGUUUACUAAUAGUUAAAUAAAAAAAGUAUGAUCUGAAUUCUGUUUUAUAUAUUAAACAAUGUGAUGAUACACAAUUUGAUGGUCAGCCAACAGAUUUGGAAAAGUUUACCAACUUAAGUAUAUCUAUUUAGAUAGACAGUUUAAAAAGUUUAAGAACAUUCAAGUUCAAUUUGUAAUGGCUAAACCAAGCAAGAGGAAAUGUUAAUGUCCUAUUUAGAUUGUUAUUUUUUGUCGAAACUUUUUUGAGCGUUUUAAAAAUAUUAUCUUUUUUUUUCAAUGAUAAAAAAAUAUUUUCACAGAUGUCACACCUUAUUAAAAAAUAUUCUCUUUUUGAGCUUUUUUAAUGUUCUUUUUUUUUUGAAUAAUAAAAAAUAUUCUCUUGCUACCUCUUUAUUUCACAUAUGUCACACCUUAUUAAAGCACUAUAGCUAUUUUUCAGCAAAAAGAAAAAAAAAACUCUUAAAGAAUACAGCCCAAACGGAUAGAUAUUCAGUUCCUAAUAUAUGGUAACUUCUAUGGAUGUUAUAUUACUAAUACACAGGGCAAAUGUCAUUUCUCAACUUUGGGUUUACUCCUACUUCUGUGUUACAAAACUAGACACAGUCUUGAACAGUUGCUCCCCCCCCCCCCAAAAAAAACAAAAAAAACAAACAAACAAACAAAAAACCAAAAAAAAAUUUUGUUAUUUGAAAACAUGGUUAUCUUAUACUAAGUUGUUUUUAAGUUGUUUUUGGGAAGGGUUGGGUUAGGUGGUACAGGGGUAGGGAGUGUAAGCAAGAGAUUUCGGAUUCGAGUCCUCCCGCUUACACUGGAAAAAAAAAAGUUGUUUAUAAGUAACAUGUUUAGCUCAGGGUUCACUUAUACCUACGAACAUGGCUUAGGUGAGAACUGAAGUUAUGCAUAGUUUUGUGUUUUUAAUCAACCUCUUUUUCUGGGGAUGUUUAUUAUUAACUAAUUAUUAUACAUGUUAAUCUAAUGACAUUGUUGAUGUAGUAUCUUGGGGGUUCACAAAUCACGACAACUAUGAUUAUUAUUUUAGGGAGUUAUCGUAGAUCUGAUUAUGGACUGAUUAUGUUAGUUUUAUGAAAUUAUUUGCAAUUAGUAUCUCUUGGGUUCACAGGAUUGUAUAAUUGCUUUAGGGCACUAUCAUGGAUCGAUACAUGCACCCGUGAAAGGCUUAAUCUGUUGUCUGCAUGUACUACACAAUUCCGACUUCCAUGACCACAAGAUGCUACCAAACAACAAAGAGUCACGAGACCAACUUUCCUUUUACAUCAAACCACUUUCACUAGAAUCAAUCUGUCUUUUGUUUUUGAAUCUCUUUUUUUUUUUUUUUUUCUUAUUCCUCAUCCUCCAAAUUAAUUCUCUCUUUAUUGCUUAUCUUCAUUCACAAUCACACAUGUGUGGCUGCCCCCCCCCCCCACCCUUCACUUUUUAAAAUUGGAGUACAAAAACUUUAGGCUUCACAUUGAUUGAAAUUCCAACUAUAAAUAAUCUAUGAUAACCCAAAUAAAUGAAUUUCAUAUUGAUUCAUCAUUUGUCUUCAAAUCAAUGAAUUGAGGCCACGUAUAUAGCACUUUCAUAGUCUUGAAUUUAGAAUUUAAAAAAAAAAAAAAUUUUGGUUUGGCUCAAAUCAGCUUAAGGAAAUUGCCUAGUUCACUGACCAAACAAUAGAGAUAAAAUUUGUUUCUAAGUCAGGAGGACCUAAAUUGUCCUUCAAGUGAAAAUGUGGUCAAAAGGGCUGGUUAACCAUGUCCAGGACAGUGAAUAGUACAAAAUACAAUUUCUUGGCAGCGGAGCUGAAGGAAUUUAAGAUUUUCUUUUGGUCCAGUUUGUGGCAAGGGACAAAGGAAAGGCAACAUCCACAGGGAACCAAGAAAUGCUUUUUUUCGUUCACAUUCUUAAUAAUCUGGAAACUCCUGAUAACAAACAGCCUGGUUGUAUUUGUAUGCAAUUUAUUAUAGGCUAGGCUACAGACCUAACAAAUGUUAAAAAUAUAAUGACUAGUUUUAUAGUUUUGCUGCAUCCACUUUCAAGCAAAAAGCAGACUGUUUUUAAAGUUUUAGUUUGAUCUGAAACUAGUGGCUGUCGAUGUUGGCACCUUUUUUAAGAACACUACAACCUCAAAACAGAUCACAAGACCAUCCAGAGAAGUAGCAAAGUCAAUUACAAUAUGAUGAAGAACUAUGUUCACUAAAACCUUCCAUCAUACCUGCAUUGGCGACUUACGGUAAUGGAACUGUAUAUUUGGAUCAACAAUCUCGUAAUUUUGAACCCUAAAGCAAUCUGAAAAAAAUGCAUUGCAUAUAAAUCAUAAUGAUUUUCCUGUAACACCCAACUUUGGUCUAACAUAAUAACUCACAAAUUUAAACUAUCCGUAAAAAGUUAUUAGAUCAACUCAAAUAUGAGGCGUUACGUGUAAAUGCAUAGGUACUUUUUCUGUCAUACCAUGGAGAGGUUUCUUGGUCAUCUGAAAACAAAAAAUAACCAUGAAAAUUAGGUCUUAGAGAAAGAAAUGCACUAAGAAACAAGGAGAUCCCUCUGCCAAGAUUGCCACAGAAGCCAUACCUGCCCAUGGUUUGAUGUUUAUUGAAGAGGAGUAUACUCUUGUAAUAGUUGACAGUGAUAUUUGGAUCAGCCUAAAGACAACACGUGUCUGUACGUUGCAUGUUAGACAUUCUCCAAGUGAGGUACAUUUGGGUAUAAAUUUGUAGCCCCUACUUCACAUGAUUCUUGCCAUUAGACAUCUUCUGCUUCUUCUUUCCCACCUAGUGUCUGCCUCAUUUCUUCCUCUUUCAUUCACUUUAAUUUUCACACUAAUUUCUCCACAGUUGGAAAAAGAAAUUCCUCCACAUUGGUCGAACUAUUCAAAUGCUGGUCUAAUUUUGAAGCAUUGUUACACUUAGAACACUUCCUUAGUUCAUCACAGGAAAUGGAUUCUCGUAAAUGGAUUUUGUUUAUAGGGAUCAUUGCAAUUUUCCUGCUUCAGAAUUCAAGCGAUGUGGAAGGAAGGCAUCAUAUUCACAGUCAUAAGAAGCAUAAGAGCAAUAAUGGAAAUGCUGGUUCCCCUGUCUAUGCACCUAGUCCUGGUGACCCUGGCUCCGAUAAUCCUGAUUAUCCUCCUCCUAUUUCUUCAGACCCGAGCAAUCCUCCAUAUAGUGAUGACCCUGGAAAUUCCGGCACUCCUGUGUCUCCUGAUCCUGGAAAUUCUACCACAGGAUGCACUUUCAAUGUCAUGGAUUUCGGGGCAGUUGGUGAUGGUUCAACUGAUGACACUGCUGCAUUUAGAGAUGCUUGGAAGGAAGCUUGUCAAGCAGAAUCAAGUGUUCUUUUGGUUCCUGAAAACUAUGUUUUCUUGAUCACUUCAACAAUUUUUUCAGGGCCUUGCAAACCUGGUCUUGUCUUUCAAGUAAGACAGCAAAAUUUAUCCCUCGUCUGUUUUUGUUCAUGCUUUCUAAAACUUUUAGAAAUGGAGUACAGCUGAGAAUUUAUCAAAUGCUUGUUCUAGGGAAGGAACAAGUAAUGUUUAAGUUGUUUUAUCUAAUGCUAUAUUCGAAAUUGUCGUUGUUUUAUGGUUAUUACAUUGUAAGUUGUUAUACUGGAUUGGUUUAGAUAGAUACAAUUUUAGGAUAAUUUAAAGUGUAUUACUUAACAUAUUACUAAACUUCUUUCAAGGUUGAUGGGGUCCUAAUGGCGCCUAAUGGACCUGAUUGCUGGCCAAAAGGUGACAGCCCUCAACAAUGGCUUGUAUUUUAUCGGCUAAAUGACAUGACACUGACUGGAACUGGUACAAUUGAAGGCAAUGGUGAAAAAUGGUGGUCGCUACCUUGCAAACCUCACAUGGUACUUAGUUUUAGUUUUCCUCAGUGGCCUACUUUUUUCUGUAUUCAUUUUCAUGCCAUUAAAUGAGCUUAACUGCAUUCAUUUUGCAGUACUAAUAUUAGUUUUCUGGUGUGUACUUCUGAAAGUAAUACAAGUGCCUAUUCCAAUUACUCAAUAUUGAUCAAAGGCUAAUAAAUGCUAUGGAAUGCCCAUUUUCAGGGACCUCAUGGCUCAACAUUGCCUGGACCAUGUGACAGCCCAGCUGUGAGUAAAUUCAACCAAACAUCCAAUUUAAUGAGCUGCAUUCAAUAUAGUGAAAUUCUGAAGUGGUACUGAACUUAAAUUCAAUCUGCCUUGCUGCAGCUUAUACGGUUCUUUAUGAGCUCCAAUUUGAUGGUGACAAAUUUGCGAAUCCAAAAUAGUCCAAAGUUUCAUGUAAAGUUUGAUGGAUGUGAAGGUGUGAUCAUUGAUAGAGUGUCGAUCUCUUCCCCUAAGCUUAGCCCGAAUACGGAUGGAAUUCACGUCGAGAACACUAAAUCUGUUGGAAUAUACAACUCAGUAAUCGCAAAUGGUAGUUCAAAUGCCCUUGAAUCAUUGGAUUUUCUUCUUGUUUAAUAACCUUCCAGUUAAUCUGAAUCUGCACUGAUUCAUGUAUUCACUCAUUUUGUAGGCGAUGAUUGCAUAUCGAUUGGUCCUGGUUGUUCAAAUGUCGAUAUAGAAUCUGUCACUUGUGGACCUAGCCAUGGGAUCAGGUGUGUGCCCUGCCUUAACUUUUUACUCUAUAUACAACUAAAAUUGAAUAAAUGACAAGCCGAAUUGCUUGACUUCAGCAUGUUUUAGCUUGUCCUGCCUGUAUCUACUCUGUCUGAUAGUGAAUCCACAACGUUUUAUUUUAAUGCUGGAUUGCAAAAGUUGGGUGGUUAUUUUUAUAUAGGAGUGAAGGGAAGGAAAUACUAGAUGUCCAAGCCAGAUGCAGAGUUUAGCCUAGUCCAAUGAAAUUUCAUUUUUUUUCAAGAACCUGCAUUCUUUUACUGUCAUAACAGACAGCAGACCUGAAACUGAAUUGCCUAAAUUGAUUCACGGGACUGGGCCAGAUUGGGAUGCUAAUCACUGACAUGAUGUUAUGCAAUUGGUUGGAAUUUCCAAUCCCCUCUAGAGUGAAAGGAAUGCCUAAAAUUGUAGCAGAACAGAUACCUAAUUUUGUUAUAUGUUCUUCCAUAAAUGAUCAAUGCGUAAAGUAGUGGUGGAGCCAAAUAUAGUUGGGGGUGGGCAAUUGCCCCCUCUCAACUUUGGUAAAAUCACAAAAUAGCCUUAGAAAAUUUGAGAAGUUUCUGAAUUACAUUAUAUUUGGCUUCUCUAAAUUUUGUGCAAUUACACUUAGUAGCUCCAUUGCCCCCUUAACUAUUAAGAUAUCAUAAUGGUUAUCUUUUGUUAGACUCUUGGACCCACUUCAAGUUAUAUAAUGAUUGAUCCAUUUGAAUUGAAUAUUAUUUGAAAAAUUUUCUUUGCUAUAGCAUUUUUUUGGGGGCAAAUUACACUUUACCGCCUGUGGUAUAGCUAAUUUUCACAUAACCCCCCUCUAGUUUUAAAAGUUAUAUAUAAUGCUAUCAUAGUUUGGAUUAAAACGUCAAAGUGACAAAAAUGAUCAUCCAUAAUGGACCCUAUGAAAAUGUCGAAAUUACCUUUGUUUAAAAGCUAAAAUGACUUAAGUGACCGAAAUAUAUAAAUAUAAUAUGCAUGACACUUUAACCCGUAUGAUUUUAUAUUUUAUCAUAUAACCCCCUUAUACUUUCGUGCUUUACCAUAUAACCCCCUAUACUUUAGUGCUUUACCAUAUAAUCCCCUUAUGAUUUUCAAUAUAUAUACAUAACUCCCUUUUGUUUAAUAAAUAAUUUUUAAUUUUACAUAGGGGUAUUUUUUAUAUUUUAGUUGACUCUGUUAUGGAUUGCAAAUUCCGUCACUUUGACACUUUAAUUCAAACUAUGAGGGAGCCAUGUAUAGUUUUUGAAAUCAUAGAAGGAUUAUGUAAUAAAACACUAAAUCACAUGGGGGUAAAUUGUAAUUUGCCCUUUUUUGUGAAGUAUGUGAGAUGAAAAAAAUUGUUGGAAAAUGUGUGUUUAGACAAAUAAGAAAUGCUUUUUUUUUUAACUUUUUUCUAAAUUUUUAUGUUCCUAACUCAAAUAAGUAGAAUGAUCUUACUGCCAAAUUAAAGUCAAAAAAUUAGAUGUAAUGGUACAUGUGACAAAAAUAUCUAUCAAACAGUAUUAUCACAUCAAACAUGAGAGUUACACGUCGCACCUCCUGAUUUAGGGUCCUAGCUCCGCUGCUGCCUAAAAGUGCACUAAUUUAUCUCUGUACAUAAUAACCAAGCGCAGUUUCAUUGUAUCCAAAAUGUUGAUCACUGAUAGAAAUCAUAAGCAACAUUUUUCUUGGAAAUUCUGUUCACAGUACAUCUGAAACAGAACAGCUUUCUUUGUCCUUUCCGUACUAGCUCGACAAAAUUUGUAUACUUCUUUCAGAAAUGUAACACUAACCUCGCCAUCGAUUUUGCAGCAUUGGGAGCCUAGGAGUGCACAAUUCCCGGGCAUGUGUUUCGAACAUAACAGUCCGGAAUGCCAUCAUAAAGGACUCAGACAACGGAGUCAGGAUAAAGACAUGGCAGGGAGGUGCGGGAUCUGUAACAGGCAUAUACUUUGAGGACAUCCAGAUGGACAAUGUUAGAAACUGCAUAAUCAUAGACCAAUACUACUGCCUGUCAAAGGCGUGUCGAAAUCAGACUUCAGCCGUUUACCUAUCGGACGUAUCGUUUAGGAACAUAAAGGGCACUUAUGAUGUGAGAAACCCUCCAAUUCACUUUGCCUGCAGUGAUACAGUGGCCUGCACAAAUAUAACAAUGUCUGAAGUUGAGCUGCUUCCGUUCGAAGGUAUAUUGGUAGAUGAUCCAUUCUGCUGGAAUGCAUAUGGGAUUCAGGAGACCUUAACUAUACCUCCAAUCGAUUGUUUACUGGAUGGAAUGCCUGAAACUGUAGGAGAAAGCAACUUAUAUGCCUGCAAUUAGGGGGGAUAGUUUACUUAAUACUGUAUAGGUAGACAAGUAGCCAACUAUUCUGUCAGGGUUUCAUCUCUGAAUUUCCUGCAAUCUUGGUGCUUUCUUGUUUUACUUCCAUCCCUUUGGGGUAUAUUCCCUGAUUGUGCGAUGAGUGCAUGAAAUCUAGUCUGCAUAGGUUCAUUUUGGUGCCUAUAAUGUACUAGUAGUAGUACCAUAAUAUAAAAUAUAAGCCAAGAUUGAGUUUCAAGAAUUGCAGUAGAACUAUGUAUCUGUUUAUGUUGAUUUAUUGCUGUAUAGCUUCAUUUUGAAUGAAAAAUUAAAAUAGAUGAUGAAUAAUUGUAGCAUAGAGUUAAAUGUAGGUAAUUACCAAAUAUUUGUUCGCCUUCUUAGGGAGAUUGCUUUUUCUUUUCUUUUCUUUUUUCUUUCUUUCUUUUGAACUUUAAUGGAUAUAGAUAAAAAAAAAAAAAAAGAGUUCAAAAAGUCCCCCAAGAUCUAACACGGUUAUUUCCUUCUCGAAACUUGUUCAUAUAAUCAAUCUUAUCUAUGCAAUUUCAAAUUCGCCUACUUUAAUCCAUCAAUUGUAUGGUGCAAUUAUCCAAAGAAUCCCUUUCUUAUUGCCCAUCACUCACAUAUCAAUGUUAACUACAUACUUGCACGAUCAAUGUGAACCAGAUAUCAAAGAAUCCCUUCCUUAUUUCUUGGAAAUGCCCUUCAUUUCUGACGUUCCAAGAACAAUCAACAGAAGCUGCCAAGGAAAGCCCUCUAGACAUAAUCCAACAAACAACUGCUGAAAACCAUGCUUAAAUUACCACAGAAAUUUAAGGCCUUAUUUGGACUGUAAUUUUUCUUCUAAAAAUUUUUAUGAACGUAUUUUUCAAUAACCUUUUUAUUUCACAUGCAUCAAAUCGUUAUCGUAUAUUCUUUUUGUAAAAACUCUAGAAAAUAGCAAUCUAAACGAACUCUAAUAGACAAGGAAGUAAGUCUCUUAGGAAUCAACUUCCAGGCCAGAACCUGUUUCCAACAAACCUUCAGAAGAACAUGGACAAGUAAAACGUAGAUGUUUAAUGGUUUCCAAAGCAGACUGACAAAGAAUGCAAUAUGCAUCAUCUUCAAGAACCACCACUAUAGCAGCCUUGGCCUGGUUAGUAAAGUCUACCUUCUUCAAAUCAAGGAAUAGACUUUUUUUACUAGACCAAUUGAUGCCAAUAAACAAGUUGUGGGUUCUUGUGGGAGCUUUAAAAGGUCAAGUUCUACUUUAGAUUGAUAAUAAUUUAAAGCAACUUCACAUAAAUUUUUUUUUCCAUAUUUUUACUGUAUAAGAAAACAAUUUUAUAUUAGAAAUACCUUGUCAAAACAUAGCAAAGCCUAUAGUAGUACUGUAUCAACGCUAUAAUUUUCCUUUAAUCCAUUUUCUUUGUACCUUACUCGCCAUAAAUUCAUUGUCUUUGCCAUUCAUUUACUUUGAAUACAAAAUAUAAGAAAAGUUUUAUGUAUUUAAGUAUUUUUAUUUCGCUAUGCUUUAGCCGAACUUAUACAUUUGUUAAUUACCUCUUUACAAUUCAAGUUGCAAUGUUAAUCUCUUUCAUUUUUUUUGCCAAAAUGUCAUUUGUAUUUCUAUUGAUAUAAACAUGCCUUCACACAUUCACAAAAGGAAGCAACUGCUCCAUCAAGGCUAGAGGCGUCAAACAAAUCUUUUUAACUAAAAUCUACCCAUACACACCCACAAAUGAGGGGGCAUGGAUAUUUUUAAAUUUCUAAAUUUGGAUUUAAAUGGAUUGGUCUAUUAUAUUCAUUUUAUUAAAUGAGUAUAAUUGCAUAACCCGUUAAAUUCAAUUAAACCCAAUUAGAACUGUGAGAGUGUGAGAGUGUGCUCUUGGAAAAAAGGAUGAGUGCUUCCCUUAGGAGUUGUCCCACAUCGAAAUUUAGUAUGGGUGAGUAGCAAGACUUAAGAUCCUCAGAGCUUCCCUCCAGUCAGUAAUGCCUGGAUGGUGAAGUUCAAUGAGUGCCCCCUUAAGUUGAGUGAGACUCUCUUUGAUGUGACUGAGUGUAGUUUAGUUUUUCGCUUGUUAAAUGCCUACUGUGGAAAAAAAAAAAAAAAAAAAAGAACUGUCUUGAGUAAAAGCCACGUCUCUCCCGUAAGUCGUCACUUCUGCACCACCACUCACGGAUUUAUGGCCACCUGUUGUCACUCCUCCUCUGAUGAGCUCCCCGCCUCCCCACCACUGUCUUCUCCUCCGCCUCCACCAGUAAGUCCUCUCCCGACUUCCUCUUUUCUGCCACUUCUUGUUUCCCUCCCCCAUCACCCUAUCUCUUCCACCAAUCACUCUCUCCUGAAACUAAUGAAUUCCUUUCUUUGCUAAAGUCAGUGAACAUUUCAGCAAGAUGAAAGGUUUGACUAAAAGAACGAAAGAAGAAGUCCUCCAAAUUCUUGUUAGCUCCAAUUGGUGCUUCUCGUAACAUCCUCUGAUCUAUCUAUCUUCUACUCAGUAUAUAUUCCUCUCCUUUUUCGAUGUUGGUGACAUAUUGCGUGAUUCAACAAAGGAAUUCUUUGUUUAGAGAAAUUAGCCAUGUGGAUUUUCAUUUUUCUUUGUCCUUUUUCUGGGAAACAAUUGGACACUUUAACAAGAUUUAAAUUUGAAUCAUUAACUUGUACUUGAUGUUAUAUUUUUUUUUCUUUGGAAUGGUACUUGAUUCAUUUUGUGGCACCAUUUAUAGAGACCAUGACUGAUUUUUGGUGAUUUUUGGAGACCCUCAUUUCUGUUUUAUUUUCUUAAAUGAAAUUUGUGCCAUCUACUAAUUACAUAUUAUUUAAUUCAAAUUUUUGUGUUAUUAUCAUUUAAUUAUUAAAUAGUUUGCAAUUUUGCAACAUUUGAACGGGUUGAAAAAAUGUUAAUUAGUCUUGUUGGAUAUUAUAAGGAAAUAUUUAAAUUAGUGAUAAGUGCAGAGAAGGUUAUAAAUUGGUAACUUAGUUUAUAAAUGAAUUUGUAAAAAGAUAAAAUAAAUGGAUUGUAAAUGGUAAUUGAGUUAUCCUACUCAUUUUUUGACUUAUUCAUUUGUAUCCAUCUAAUUAAAUGUAAGGGUGAUUGUGAAUCGAGCUACUCGCAAGCAAUUCGAUCAAUCGCUCGGCUUCAGCUCGGGUUGACCAAGUUUGGGCUCGAGCUCAAGCUGCUUGAUUGGGAAGCAAGUCGAAUUUCAAGCCCAAAUAUAUACUAGUGGAACUUGAUGAGCUAUUCAUCAAGUACUUAUUAAUUUAAAUAAUAUAUAUUUUUAAAUAUGCCAUUACCACUAAGGGUUUAUGCUUUCAGAUAAUUUACAAGUUGAUUUGCAUACUUAAUAAAAUUCUUUAAUGGCAAAAAGGUAAUAGAAUUUGUAGACACAAUUCAAUUUCAUUCUCCAAGUUUAGAGCUUAAUGGCUCAAAAAUGGGUCUGAUCCAGGUUCUAUGCUUGAAGCAUCAUCGAGUACUUGAGCUCGAUAUGGCUUGAUCUUGACUCGAGCCAUAUCGAGUCGAGUUUGAGUUUUUUUUACCGUUUCAACAAGUUAAGUUCAAUUCUCUAUUUCUGAGCUUGAUCGAGCUUAAGUAGGGUGUCAAUAGUGUUUGAGUCGAAUUCAAGUAUAGCACUACUCAAAUUUAAACUCGACUCGUAUACAUUCCUAAUUAAAUAAAUGUAAAUGGAUUGACUCAAUUAUACUCAUUACCUAUUUCAAUCCAUCCAAGUCACCCACAGUGACACUUCUAAUCAAGACUAUGUGUCUCUCUUGCAAGCCACAAGGGAAAAUCUAAUUCCCACUUCACGUGUAAAAUUGGUCUAGUUCUAUUGGAGCUUCUACAAAUUAAAGUAAAAGUACAAUUCCAGAAGAAUUCUUUCUGCUGUCUAAUAUCUCUGGUGAUUAUAGCUAAGAAGGACUCAUCAUCUACAUUAUCAUUAAGCCAGCUCACUUUUUUAAUACCUGUCCACUUUUAAAAAAUGUGGAGUAUGAUUAUCAUAUACCAAAACCUUUUUAGCAACUCAACACUAUGGGUACGAGGGAAAAAAAACAAAACAAAAUUGCUAAGAAUGCUUAUUGUUGACAAAUAUCAGCUUCUUCAGGUCCUGUUGGUGAAAAAGAAAUAAGCAAAAGUGAUAUAAUCGAGUCACAAAAUUGGCAAACCCCAUUUAUUUGAAUCCCAAUUGCUGCAGAAUACCUAGCGGACUUGUAUUUAUUCUACACCAAGUAAAUUAAUAAAUAGUAAAGGGUAACUUUUAGUCUUGUCUUAUGUAUUGACAUCAUGAAGGCUGUAAGUCGAUUCCACUAAAAUGGAUUAAAUCCAUUGCUACAAAAUUCAGCCAAAACGGUUUAAUUUCAAAAUAAUUAACUGAAGGAAUAUUAAGUGGUGUUGCUUUGUAUUUCCAAAAGUUGAAAUCUCUUCAUCAAUUUUCAAAUAUGGACGUACAUUUUCUGAACUAAUUACAUUUGUAAACUAUCUUUGUAAGAUUUAACUUUUUACCUCUAUAUUGGGUUUACUAUGGGUAGAAAAAACAAAUUUUUUUUUUUAGUGCCGGUGAUUGCAAUACCUCUGAAUAUAUUAUUGUUUGCUGGCUCCCAUUUCUUUUUUGGUUUUUUUUUUGGGGGGCGGGGGAGGGGGAUGGUGGUGUUAUUGAAGGAUUAAAGAAAAAAAAAAAGGAAUUGGUACCUAUCCAAUCCAUUUAAGGACGAACAAGAGUCCGAACGAUUAUCAGAAAACAGUUCAGAGCGAUUUUAUGUAAAAUAUACACAAUGUAACUCACUUUCAAUAACGUAUGACUAUAGAAUAAAAUUUUAUGAGUCUCAUACAUAAUGUGAAAAGUGAGGUACAAAAUAAAAUAUGAACCCCAUAUAUAUUUUUUAGCCAAAUUUUGACCAUGAACUUUUGGAAACAAUUAAAGGACCAAACCUGACAAACGUCAAUUCUUUGAUUCCCCGUAGCUGAAGAAUAACGAGUACCAUCCUUUCCAAAAACAAAUAAAUAAAUGGCAAAAAGGCAACUUUUUAGACUUGUUUUGUUGGGCUGAAUGCUGGCUCUCAAGUCUUAACCGCAGGCCACAUGGACUAAUAAAAGUGCAUGGUAUAAACUCAUUGCCUACAAAACAAAUCCUAAAGAUAAAAAUUUGUUUUCCUAUAAAUUCAGCGAAAAUUGUUUCCAAAACCAUUCUCGCAUUUCCAUUUGCAGUGAUUAACAAGAAGUCAUGAAGCAGCUUACCUUCAUUUUCCUGUUGGCUCUUUUCAUCAAUUCAAUUUGUUAGUACUCUUCUUCCCCUCUCCCCCUACAUCCUAUCUCCCCACUAUUUAGAAGAGUGUUUUAAUAGCAUUAAAGUACUGAACGUUACUCUUUUGACCUAUAUGUUUCACAACUUGAGAGCAAAUUGACAGCAUUUUGGCAUUCUAUGUAUCAAAGUCAUGUUUGAUAGGAUAUAUAUAUAUAUAUAUAUAUAUAUAUCUUUUUUUUCAAACUUUUGAAGUUAGUUAAUUAAACCUAAUCCCAGAUUUAAUCCCAAAAGCCGGCAACUCUUGAGGCAAACCUGGGGAUUUAACUACCCAACCCCCCAACUCCGAAGAAACGAUGUGGGACUACGGAAAAAUUAGUAGGACAGUCUCUACUAGACCUUAAAGAAGGAUAUAUAUAUACCUACCACCAUAUUUUUUAAAAAUUAUUUUUUCAAAUUCAAUUACCAGCUUGAAGCCUUCAAGAAAUUUCAACAGAAGUCUCUAUUACAAAAUUCCUUUCCACUAACCCUUCAAAACUUUCUUCUCAUUUAGUUUUGGCACUCCAAUUUACUAGAUAUUUUUAAUUUAGCACCGAAAAUAUACGUGCAUUGUUUGUAGCCCUAGCGAAAGCCCCCAUUUUCAUCUUCUUAAUUGUAAUGUUCUUCUACUUUUGCCCCUUCAACUUGCAACAGUUUUUUCCUUUUAGUAGGAGGAACAACGUUCGAAACAAAUUUUUUUUUUUUAUUUCAUAUGUGGUCAAGGAGUUACAUUGGCACAACAUCUUUGUUUGAAGAGAAAAAUUUAUGAAAUAAAACAUUUGGGAGCUUUAUUGACAAGAUUGAACUUUUGUUAUUAGUGCAAUUAAUUAUGCCAUCAAAUGUUUAAGUACGAUAUUUUGCUAGUGUUCUUUUGUUGAUAUGGUGUGCAAUGCGCAGUUUUAAUAUCGGCAAGGGGAGAUGGAGGUUUGCUCAAACCUAAGAUACAACAAGCCUUUAGAGGCUCUUGGGAAGUAACAUUUUGCAGAAGUAAUGAAGAGUGCAGAUUUUGUGGUGGUUACACAUGCCAAGGUAAAUUGGGUAAUGGACAAUCAGAUACUGACGGUUCUGCUCUUGGCAAAUGUGCCAGGGCAUGAAUAAAAAUGGUGGAUAUGCAUCUUUACAGCAAUGUUAAGGUUGGCAAUGUUAAGGUUUUUUUUUUUUAAUUUCUGGUGAUUAAUUAAUUCUGAGAAUGUUUUUAUUUCUAAAUUAAAGUUAUUCGUGGGGCCAUAGUAUAUUAUAUCUAUAUUCCACUUUUGCAAGAGUAUCCUUAAUAAUUGAAUGUCAUUAAUAUCCUAUUGUUAUUUCGUUAUAACCAAAUUAAACUUCCCUUCGUACAUUGAAUAAUUCUUUCCAAUGUUAUUCAAUAAUAACGUCAAAUUAUGUUUGAAUAUCAUGGUUUUAUAGACACCUUAAAUAUUUGUAUUUUCUUGAGAUGAUAGUUUUUCUAACAGAUGCACAUGUAAAUAUACAUAAUCUACCAUGUGAAUGUAUAUACUAACAAUUAUUAUCUCAUUUGUAUAUUUUUUUAAUUAACUUUACUUUUUCAAGAAUUUAAUAUCUUGUUUAAUAAAUACUCUUUUGACAGACCCAAAUAAUAGUGCCCCUCUACCUUAAUACAAUAUAUUAGACUUAUAUAUAUAUAUAUAUAUAUAUAUAUAUAUAUAUAUGAAAGUAACUAUUUUAAUCACAAUGUUUCUCACUCCUGUGUGGCAUGCCUAAUUGAAGAGAAUUAACAGGUUAUGGAUCACUUAGGUUUUACAUAUACUGAAUCCUAUUUGGAUUAUAUUAUGUGUUUAACAAUUAUUUCUAAUUUUAAAAUAACUUUAAAAAACAACUAAUCUUAUCUUAACUGCUUUCUAUCAAAUUAUUACAAUGAUUAUAAAUUAUUUCUAAUUUUAAAAUAACUUUAAAAAAUAACUAAUCUCAUCUUAAUAAUAUCUGCUUUCUACCAAAUUAUUACAUAGAAGUAUAGUAAAUCCUUUUUAAAUCAAAAUUAUUGAAAUCUUAUUGAUAUAUCCCAUAAAUUACUUCCUUUCACCACCAUAUCAUUGAUUAGUAUUCAAAUUGUUCAUCAUCUCUUCUUAAUUUUGAAUUAACUUAGUGUAAAAAAGAGAAUUAACUGUUACAUCGAUAGAUUUAUCAAUAUUAUUGAAAAUUAAAUAUUUAUUGAUGAAGAAAAAUGGAUUAAUGGAUCUUUUUCUAUUUAAUUAAAUAUGAAUAUAUAAUUCUAGGUUUAUGGACAUUAUAAAAAUUUAAAUUAUCUAAAAAAUAUAUAUAAAAAAGAAUAUCUACCAAGUUUUGGAUAUAGGGUACAUUAUUUGAUGCAUACUAUCAUAUUAUAGAGAAAGUAUGUCAACAAAUUUUUAAAAAUUAGUACAUAAUUGAACAUUUAAAAUACAUUAAUUUUUUAAAAUUAAUAUGAAUGAACAUGUAGAACUGCUGUUAAUUUUUAUAUUUAAAUUAUUCAUAUUUGUAUAAAUUCACAAUAAAUAACAAAAAUCAUGUUAAGUCACGGGUAAAAUUCUAGUUAGUAUGAAGACAACAAAUAAGAACCGGAUUCUCUAUAGUUGCAUGAGCAACCGUAUACAAUUGCUCAAAUUCAGAUGCUAGUCAACUUUGUCUUUUAUAAAUUACUGCCCAAAUUGUCCUAUAGUAUUUUGGUAAAAAGUUUUAAAAUUCCCAGAUUACAACCUUAUUUUAAUCAAUUGAUUAAUUUAUCAUAUUUUGUGAAAAAUUUUUACUUCUUUAAUAGUAGUUUUGAUCUAAUAAAUAGUAAGAGUCAUUACUACUGAAGCAAAGAAUUUCUCAAUAGCCCUUUUUUAUAUCAAUAAGUCCAUCUUUCCUUAUAGUAAAAUUAUUUCUCAAUUCUUUUAGACAUGUCUAAAUUAGUAAAAUCAUUUAUCCCUUAAAUAGUUUAAUACCUGAACGAGUGCUUUUAGACACAAAAUAGAUUCGGGAAUCUUGCCGAAUUAAUUUAUGAUUUUAGCAUAAUGGACUGAGAUAAACUUAUCAACUAAAAAAAUGAAACAAUUUUUGGACAAGUUUUUUAUAUAAGAUUUUUUGUUGUUAUGAUCUCUAAAUCAUUAAAAUCUCACGCAAAUGAAAUAUGAAGCACCGAUGAUAAAUUGUUCAAAAAAGAGGGGAAUCUAUUAAGUUUGGAUUCUAAACUCUUUAACAUACUUACAGAAUAUCAACUGACAAUAUUGACUGCUAAAUGCCGAUUAUUGAAUGUUAUUUGUCGGGUAAAAAUUCUAGCUACAAACCUACUAGAAUACAAGUACUGCCUGUAGUUUAAUAGUUUACAAGACAAAGGACAAGGGUGUUCAUUGUUUAAGAAUUCGAAAAAUAUCUUAGAUUGGCUUGUUAUAAAGUAAGUAUUCGAGUGGCUGGCCUGCCUGCUACUAGUCCAGUCUGGAUCUGGGACAAGGAUAGUCAUCAGGUGGACCGUCCUAAGUAGUUCACGGCCAAGAUUUGGUAAAAAAUAAUUGUACUAUUCAGAUAUCAUCUUGUAUCUCGUUUGUAACAACAUGUGUGAGACCCACAAAAUUUUGUUCUAAAAUUACACGUUGUGGAAAAUAAAUUACACCAUGUAUAAAUAGAGUCACGCUGUGUGCAAAAUGCACAUAGCCUUCAUGCCCUUGGUCCAGUCUACCAUAUGCUUUUCUCUGUCACAGGCAGGACUGAAAACAAGUUUAAACGAGAUGGACAGAGGUAUGUUCAGAAUUGAAUCGAAAGUUAAAAAAAAAAUGUUUGAAGUUAACUUAUGUUUGAAAAUUUUUGGAAAGAAACUGAUCGAGUUUGACUUAUAGAAAGCUUGACUCGACUUGUUAAAGUAUCGAACUCAAGUUCAAGUACAUACAAUCAAAGCUCGUUCAGUGUCUUAUAGUUACUAGUCUGGAUUUUCAAAAUUUGAAAUCAAAAGUUGCACAAUCUUAUAAACUUACAAGUUAUAAUUAACUGUCAAUUUGUCCGCUAAUCAAGUGAACAUUCAAUCUUUUUCAUUUAUUAAAUACAAGCACCACUACUAAUAUUUUAAUUGAGUAAUAGAUGACUUUAAGUCUGUAUUGUAUGCUUGCUAUUUUAGAAGAUAAGCAAUAUACAGGAAGGAAUAGAAGCUAUGUUUUCAGAACCGGACCGGAUAGCGACUCGGCCAAGGUCAGGGGUCAGGGGUCAAUGGGUUCGACCGGGGGUCGAUAGGGGUCGAACCGGAUGACGUCAUAAAUAAAAAUUAUUUAAAAAUUAAAAUAUUAUAUAUAUCAUAUCUAAUAAUAUAUUGAUAUUAAUAAAGGUAUAUUCAUACAUAUUUGAUGUUUCAAAUAUAUUUAACAAGAAAAUACAAAGAAAUUAGAACAAUCAAGUAGCAAUUUAUAUUAUUUAAUAAAUAUUAACAAGUUUAGAAUUAAAAUUAUGAAUUUAAUUGAAAAAUAACAUCAAAUUGUAGGACAAUAUUUAUAAAGUAUCAAAUAUUUGAGGUAUACGAAUAAGUUUUAACAAUUUAGGGGGCCAAAACAUAAUAUUAUAAAGUUUGAAUUUUUUUUUUUAAAAAUUACUGUUGAACCGGAAAAACCGGGGUUUUCCCGGUCAAACCCGGUCAAACCCGGUCAAACCCGGAUUUUGACCGGCUUUGACCGAGUUUUAAAAUUUCCGGUUUUCUAAGUUGACUCGGACCGGCUACCUGGCCGGUUCCCGGUUCGACCGGUCGACCGGCCGGUCCGGUCCGAGUUUGAAAACAGAGAAUAGAAGUGGAGUUAAGGAAGAAAAACUAUAGGUAUAUAUUUAUAAAAUUUACCUAUUAUAUAUAUUUCUGAACAUGUCGAGUCGGACAACGUGAAAAUCGUGAAUAGCUUGUUAAUAUUUUUGAAUUUGAAAUCAUAUUCAAAUUUGGAUUGAUACCUAAAUAAACAAGUUUGAGUGAGGUUGGCUCGAAUCGAAUUCAAGCCGAGUGCCAAGUUGCUUGUUUCGAUUUACAACUCUAAUUAUAGGGCUUGCCUCUUUCUCCUUGAGCUUUCUCCUUCUAUACAUAAGUUUUAGUACUACUGGACUCCUGGCCGUGGAUAAUGUUGUUGCCUCCUGUUCUUCUACAGUAAUUUGAUAAAGUAAAACAAUCUUCUAGAGCCUAAUAAAUGAAAAAUCAAUGCAUUAGUCUUCAAACUUUAGCGGGAUAAAUAGUAAGGUUCGGCCGACAAGCUUAAGUGGUCUUUUGUCCUUUACUUCAUAAAAUUUUGAUCAUUUAAUCUUCCUCUAGUUUAUGUUUGUUUUGCUAUUUUGGCUAAUAAUAUGAAAACAAAAAGACGAAAGUAGAAAGUUAAUAUUACAAUCAAUUAGUUACCCCAAGUACCAUUGUUGAGUUUCUGUGGAGAAAGAAAUUAAUAAAAAAAUAAUAUUAGAGCAGUUAGAAAAUAAUUGGUAUUAUUUAGUUUAUGAAAAAUACAGAAUAUAUUGGAUUGAAACUUGUGAGUAUAACAAAAGAAAAUUCCUAUCAGACAACUUCUGCUUAGACUGUAAUAGUUCACUUCUUAUAUAUAUAUAUAUAUAUAUAUAUAUAUAUAUAUAUAUAUAUAUAUAUAUAUAUUUUAGCCAUGUCAAUUAUUAAUUUUCAUGGGGAUAAUCUGGUCACUUUACAGAACUAUAUGAGGUACACAUGAUCGAACUUUUCACAAAUUGAAUUGUUCGACCCCAUUGCACCUAGUUGAAAAUAUUGUAAUGUUGGGUAGAUUGGUGCAAUUCAACCUUAAGGAGAAUAAGAUGAGAAAAAGAGUAGUAUUUUUCAAGAGGAUUUAUUCGAAUUAGCUCUUUAAUCGAAAUCUACCUCAAUUCGAAGCUUUAAUAUUCCUUCCUUAAAGUAGUGUCUGUUCGUGUGUAAUAGUGAAGGAAAGUGACGGAAAAUAAGUUUUUUUUUUCUCCCUUUUUGCACGCAAACAAAGCAAACAAAGUACCUUUUUUUUUUUUUCGAGGUGUCCCGCAGGGAGGGAGUGGACCUAAGGCAGUAAAGUUCGAACUAGGGACCUAAGGCUCCAUCUUCAACAAGCUUAAUCACUAGACCAAGCCCCGCAAACAAAGUACUUUGUUUAGUAGGAAAGUUACAAAAUUUUCUUGCACCUUUUUUGUAACUUUGGAGGAAAAAAAGUUAGUUGCACACAACAUUCCUAAUAACUAUAGCUAAUUAUAGUAAAAUCCCCAUAAAUUAAUAGCUUUGGGAUCACACAAAUUCUAUUAAUUUAAUGACGUAUUAAUUAAUCGAUAAAUUAAUAAUUUAUGGGAAAUAUUAUUUGCACUCUUAUUUUUGUUAUUCACACUCCCACUAUCAUUUUAGUUAUAUAAUUUUCAUUUAUUAGACUAUAUAAUAAAAUAAAUGUUGGGAGUGUAAAUUAACAAAAGAUAGAGUGCAAAUAAACAUUUUCCUAAUUUAUUAAUUUAUCGAGUGUACUCAACUAAAGUUUUUUUUUAAUUUAUAAAAAUAUGAAUUAUUUUAUUGAUAAAAGGAGGCUAAAAGUCUGAGGAACACAAACCAAUUCAUAUCUUUUUUAUUUUCAAUUAUAAUUUAAUUCUAUUGAUGUCUUCAAUGCACGUACAUAACUGAUGUCAUUUUAGACUCAUAUCUUAAGGAAAAAAGAAACAACAAUAGAUUCAUAGUUGAGGAAACUAUGAUAUAUAAAUUUAGUGGAUUAUUGAAUUAUGAUAUGAAUGGGACCAAAGGUUAUGUAGGGUUUUCAAAAAAAAUUUAUUAUCUUAUUAUUUUGUUAAAAUUAUUAAUUUAACUCGUUAGCCCAAAUUGGGAUUGAAAAAAUUACUUAUUUAAUAAAGGCUGUUAUUUAUUGAGGGUUACUGUAUCUAUUUCCUCUCAAAUUUUUUCUUCUUGUCAAAAAAACAUGCAUGAGAAAGUGAAUGUCUCUUUUCUUUACUUCACUUUCUUUCAUUUACUUUGCUACAUAAUUUUUUCUCUAAUCAAACAAAUAAUCUUUAUAAGUUCUUCGCAUCUUAUUUUAUUUGUUAUGGUCAGGUUUGUCCAUAGUUCAAAAGUUUUGACGUUUGACCACCUAAGAAAAUGCUCUUAAUUUAAACUCAAAUCUUAUUAGUGUCUUUUGAAAUUUCAAAUUCAAUCAUUUAAGUCUUUUAUGUUGAAGUAUGACUUUAGUUUCUUUUUUUUUUUCCAUUUUAAGGGCAAAAUACAGAUGUUUUUUUUUCCUUCCUCUUUUUAGGCCAUGAAAAAUAAUUUGGGAUGUAUGAAAACAGAAAUGAUAAUUAAGGAAAUGGGAGAACCAUGUUGUUUUUUAGUUCCUCUCUUUUGUUUUGAAGUGUUUAGUCCCUAACAGUUUAAAAUGUUAAAUUGUAGUUUUAUUCCAUAUUCAACCUAAUUCUCUAAUGAAAAGCUCUCAUAUGCAUUUUUUUUUUUCUGACGGAGUGGGUAUCCGGGCUUUUGACUCGACUAAUCCCACUUUGACCCGAGAGAGGAGGCCCCACUCCACUUCGAGCAUGGUAGCAAGGGGGCUCGAACCCUGGUUGCCCAGAUAAAUCUACCAUACCCUAAAAAGGGUAAGUCUCUCAUAUGCAGCUUACAUUGUAGAGGGCCAAAAAUCAUCAAGGAAAAAAAAGCAAGAAAAAAUUUGUUCGAAUCAUUUGUUGUUUUGCGUAACAAACCACAAAUAGAGCUUGGACUAGAACGCAUCUUUUUUCAAAUUUUGAGGGACCAAAACAAUUCAUUUCAUAUACGAUGAACUAAAAACGUACAAAGCAUAAAGAAAAGGGACUAGUUACGUGAUUUUCCCUUUCUCGUACGACUCCUUUUCGGUAUUUACAUUACAGAGCCAUCAGUACCUUUCAACCGCCGCGCUCCGCCGCUACCCACCACCGUCAAAAACCUCAAGUUGCAAUUGUUCAGCCUUUCCUUCACCGCCGACGAGAACCCUUUUAUCCUCCGUGGACUCCCAACCACCUCGAGCUCUUCAGCACUACCAAAUCCGAGGCAAUUGUGGAAAACUAUAAAUCUUAGGUAAGUUCAAUUAAAGUUUGUUCUUUGGUUAGCUUCUUCGUUUCCUUGCUAUUUUCAGGUUUAUAUUUUAAUUUUUCUCUGUUUCUGUAAGAUCAUUGUCCAAUAUCGUCUAUCCUGCUUCCUAAAGAUUGGCGCAAUUUUGGAAUUUGACAAUGUCAUUUAGCUGGUGAUCCACCGGUUUAUUAAUGUUAUACUCAAUGUAACUGGAAAAUUCUAUGAAAAGGGCGUUCUUGGAUGUCUAAUAGAUGAAGAUGGUGUAGUUUUAGGCUGUCUGUUUUGAAGGACAUUUGUACUUAUUUUUGUGCAAAAUGUGAAGCUAAAUGUACGCCCUGAAGGUGAGCAUUUUGUACCAAAAAUCAGUAUAACUGCCCUUGAUGUUAAGUAACGCAAAAUUAGGUCAUUUUAUGAAUUAAGCGUCUUUGGACGCCCUUUUCACUGAUUGUGUUAGGUUGUGUUAUUGUUUUGUUGAUUGGUGAAAUGGUGGAUGUUGAUGGUUGGAAUGUUGUUGUUUCCUAUGAUGUAAUUACGAUGUUUUUUGCUUACCUAGUUGCAGGAGUUCAGUGGGUUUUAAUCAUGAUCAGCAAAUUGCGGAUAAGAAACAUAGGAGUUGAAAUCCAAUCAUGGAAUGUAGUAGCAAAAAAAAAAAAAAAGGGUAGGAUAAUUUUUACAAGCCUAUAGGAGCGCAACAAAAGGGUAGGAAUGUACUUUAUGCUAAAAGCCUAUAGGAGUGCAAAUGCUUACUUCUGAGGUGGAUGUAGUGUAUGGCACAGAAUUCUCUCACUGAAUAAUUUUAUGACCAUGCGGCAUGAUAACUCAUUACAACAACUUGCAGUAUUUUCUGGAAACGGAAGUGCAACACUUUUUGAGUUGUUGGUCAUCCCCACCUCUUUAUCUUUAAGUUUUCUUGUUUUACCUUAUCUCUAGGUAAUUAAACAUGAUUGCUAAUUGCCCCAUAUUCUUCAGUAGUUUUUCAGAAAUGUUAUCUUCAUAAUCUAUUCUUUAAGGAAGUGCCGGAACUCAGCAUCACAUAUCUGUGGUGCUUGAUGUGGACCUCAUCUCAAGCUCAGAUUUGUUACACCCAGUAAGAAAGAUUCUAACCAUAUCUGACACAGCUAUAAUAUGAGCAGUUAGUCAAUUGGUUCAUAUCCUUUUGAGGCAUUGAAGGCCAUUUUUUGUUUUAAAAUUCCUUGUAGCAAAAAUGUACAUGCUGCAUGAACUUUUUUGUUUCCCCAAUCCGGAGAAUAUUGUUUUGGCAUUGUUGGCUACAUUUCUACUGCUGGAAUUUUAAGCUGCAUGAAUUUGCAAUCUUAUUAUAGUUCCCUAGAUUUUGGCCUAUCAGUGUGCAGGUUGAUUGCUCAGAGUUGUGUGAUAAUUUCCUUUUUCCUUUUCUCCCCAGGUUCCUUUAUAUUCUUAAAUGAUAUCGGUGAAAAUGGUGCUUCUUGAUAGUGGCUGUUAUUUUGGCUGGGUGUGCCCAUCUUUGUUGUUUAAAAACUUAGCAUGUCAUUACAAUGUCUGAGGUCUUAUUUUCUUCUAAAAGAUGCCUGAUAUUGUAAGCAUUGUGAAAGAGAAUUCUGAAUAUGGUGCCGACUCUUCUCAAGAUGAUGUUGGUGCCAUUGAGGAGAUGCCUGAGGAUACUAUUUUGUCUCGCCAAACAUCCGUGAACCUUGUCCCAUUCAUUGGCCAGCGGUUUGUCUCACAAGACGCUGCCUAUGAAUUUUAUUGUAGUUUUGCAAAGCAAUAUGGCUUCUCUAUCAGGCGUCAUCGCACCCGUGGAAAAGAUGGUGUGGGAAGGGGAGUUACAAGAAGGGAUUUUGCCUGCCAUCGGGGUGGGUUUCCUCAGUUAAAACCCUCUGAGGAUGGAAAAUUACAAAGGAAUCGAAAAUCAUCCCGCUGUGGAUGUCAAGCUUAUAUGAGGAUAGUUAAAAGAAUGGACUUUGAUGUCCCUGAAUGGCGUAUAACUGGUUUUAACAAUGUCCACAACCAUGAACUCUUGAAAUCAAAUGAGGUGCAGCUGCUACCAGCCUACUGCAUGAUAUCUGCUGAUGAUAAAAGUCGUAUUUGCAUGUUUGCUAAAGCUGGGAUGUCAGUCAGACAAAUGCUACGGUUAAUGGAGUUAGAAAAGGGUGUUAAAAUUGGUUGUCUUCCAUUCACUGAGAUUGAUGUGAGGAACUUGCUGCAAUCCAUCAGAAAUGUGGAUCAUGACAAUGACCCCAUUGACCUUCUCAAGUUAUGCAAGGAGAAGAAAGACAAAGAUCCAAACUUCAAAUAUAACUUUAAGAUAGAUGCUAGCAACAGGUUAGAGAACAUUGCAUGGUCAUAUGCUUCAUGUAUUAGGUUGUAUGAUGCUUUUGGAGAUGUCUUAGUAUUUGACACGACUCACCGCUUGGAUGCUUAUGAUAUGCUUCUUGGGAUCUGGAUUGGAGUGGACAAUCAUGGAAAGACUUGCUUGUUUGGUUGUGCACUUCUUCGAGAUGAAAACAUGCAAUCUUUCUCGUGGGCUUUGAAGGUAAGUACAGCAAUCCUCAGUUAUUGUGCAUUUUUCUGCUUGCUUUUGGGUUGUCUUUUAGCUUUAUAAUGAGUUUAGUGAAACACUUUACUGUACCUAGUCUGCUUGUCGUCAGUACCAUUUGUCUUGGAGGUUGGAUCUCCAUGUGCCUUGGGGAGUUAAUACUGUACGCAAAAAAAAGAUUGAUGUGAUAAGGCUUCUUGAAAUGAAGUUUGCCGAGACCAGUACUGAUACGACCUAAACUUUUGAUCCUGACAAAUUUGUUGGAGAUGGAUGCAAUUUCAGUUGUCUACCUCGGAUUUGGUUAGCGUAUUUACUUAUUGAUGAGUAUCCUCGUCUCUUCAUCAUCCAAAAUUUCUUUAAUAGUAAACUCAAAGCUGACCACACUGCAUUUACUAAGAGGGACACAAAUAUCUAGCCAAAUCUGUGCUCUGUUAAAAGUGAAUCAUGACGAACGUGAGCAGCUCCCUUUCCAUUCCCUCUUCCAUGCAUGUAUGUGUACACUUGCAGAUUAGUCUCGCCCUUGCUGUGAAUGGUAAUUAUCAAAUAUUCCUUUUGCUAAGAUGGCACCAAGUUGAUCAUGCCCCUAUUUAUGAUUGAGCACCAUUAAGGUGGCAACUGGGAGUAAAAUUCAGUUGAUUUGCUAUACUGGGUUAUAGGUCUAUUGCCAUAUUUACAUCUGUUUAAAAAGUUGGUUUUUCUGAUAAACUUCUUUCUUCCACUACAAAAGAAUUGCUGUUUUUGGUGUGUAGCAGACAUUUUUGAGCUUCAUGAAUGGUAAAGCUCCGGGGACCAUUUUGACUGACCAAAACAUGUGGCUUAAAGAAGCGCUGGCUGCUGAAAUGCCAAGGACCAAGCAUGCAUUCUGCAUCUGGCAUAUCAUCUCAAAGUUUUCUGACUGGUUCUCCACCUUACUUGCAUCACAGUAUGACAAGUGGAAAUCUGAGUUCCUUCGGCUUUAUAAUUUGCAUUCGGUUGAUGAAUUUGAAGUAGGAUGGAGACAAAUGAUUGACAGCUAUGGACUCCAUGGAAAUAAGCACGCAGUCAGUUUGUAUGCCUUGCGUAUGUUCUGGGCACUGCCGUACGUGAGAACUUUCUUCUUUGCAGGGAUGACAAAUACAAUACAUUCAGAGUCGAUAAAUUCCUAUAUCCAACGAUUUCUCAGUGCACAAUCUGCAGUUGAUAAUUUUGUGGAGCAGGUCAGUCACUUGCAACUGAUGUUUGAUGUUUGACAGUUACCUGUAUAUGAUUCGUUCUACUACUUGGUCUAGGUUGGAGCAGUUGUAGAUGCUAAAGAUCAACCAGGUGGAAAACAAAAGAUGCAGCAGAAGGUGCAGAAAGGUUUGCUUAAAACAGGUUCCCCAAUUGAGUUGCAUGCUGCCAAUAUUCUCACACCAUAUGCCUUCAACAAACUACAAGAGGAACUUGUCUUAGCACCACAAUAUGCAUCCCUUAUGGUAGAUGAGAGUUACUUCAUUGUCAGACACCAUACCGAAAUGGAUGGAGGGUGCAAGGUUUUAUGGGUUCCCCAUGAUGAGUUCAUUAGCUGUAGCUGCCACCAUUUUGAGUUCACAGGCAUCCUAUGUAGACAUGUUCUCCGUGUUCUGUCAACAAACAACUGUUUUCAUAUUCCCGAUCAGUAUUUGCCCCUGCGAUGGCGUGAAGUCCUAUCAGCAUCUUCAAAGGCCCCUUCUUCCUCAUCAGGGGACCAUCCGGGAAAGCUCCAUUUGUUUCAGUCGUUGAUUUCAACACUUAUUGCAGAAUCAAUUGAGACAGACGAACGCCUUGAUGUUGCUUGUGAGCAAGUUGAUUUUAUUUUGGCACGGAUCAAGGAAUUACCGGGACCAUCGAAUGGUACUAAAGAAAUCCCUUGUGACAGCCCUUCCGACUCACUUAUUCUCCCAGAAGUUGAAGAUUCUGACUGUGUGGCUCAAAGUUCUGCUUAUGAAUCUAUGAUAAAACUGAAAGAGAGAAGAUCCAGAGAUGGACUAGACUUUUACAGCAAGAGAAGACGAUGUUCAUUUUCUUGCUGUGGCCACUUUGGUCAUGAUGCCAAUGAUUGCCCUUUGAUGGGAAGUGAUGAUUUGAAUGGAGAUGGCCUAGGAUUUUUGUAGGUGAAAUGUCCAAAAAAUAAAAUAUAUGUAAUGGUAGUUUUUCCAGAAAAAAGUGUGAAGUUGGUUGUUCCACACUAUUCAGUCUAAUGCACAAUUGGACACACGUUGCGCAAAAUUUGAACUUUGUACCUUCCAGGAUUAAAAAGUAUCCACCUUCUAGGAUUAAAAAGUACCCAAAAUCUGUUCCUGUAAAAUCUUUAAUCAUGCUUCGAUGCCUUCGUGCACCUUCCUCAUCCCUGCCCAAGGGAAAAUAAAGGGAAAAUGCCAGUUGUCAUCUCCAAACUUUUGGUCAUGGAUACAUUUUGUCCUUGAACAUUUUGGCAUAACACAAUUGGCAUUUGAACUAUGAAUUUUUUUGCAGUUUCAUUCUCAGACAGAAAAUUAAUGGGAAUAUGCCAGUUUUCAUUCUCAAAUUUUGGGCCAUAGACAUAUUUCGUCCUCAAAUAACUGCAUGCCGGUUGCUACCAAUAACAGAUAGAAUCAACAUCAUAGCUGAAACACAUAAUUUGACUACGAAAUGUGUUCAUGACCCAAAAUUUUGGGAUAAAGCUGAAACACAUAAUUUGACUAUGAAAUGUGUUCAUGGCCCAAAUUUUUGGGAUAAAGUUGGCAUUUUCCCAUCCAAAUUGAUUAAUUUCCCAUUUGAGGAUAAAAUUUGUCAAAAAAUAAUAGUUCAAAUACUAAAUAUAUUAUGCCAAAAAGUUUGAGAGCGAAAUAUGUCCAUGGACCAAAGUUUUGGGAUGAUAACUGGUAUUUUCUCGGGAGAAAAACCCCUCAUCCAAUUAAAAAUGAAAAUAGCUUUUGUUUUAAACCAAGUUUGAGGGUUGGAUUGAAUUGGUAUCCAGUAUUUUAAUCAAAACAAAUGUAGUCUUCAAAGUACAUAAUUUUGACCAAAUUUAUCCCUAAUUUUUCAUUUAAACAAAUAUAGUCCUUUAAGUAUAUUAAUUGGCUAAGUUGGUUCUUAAUAUCUUAAAAACAUCUACUUCUAUGACCAAAAAAAAUACAGAAAAUUCUAUAAAAGUUAUAAAAAUAAUUAUACAAAAAACAAAAAUUUGAAAAACUAUAAAAACGUAAAAUAUGUGUAAGGUAAUAAUUUUUCAUCAAAUGAAGAUAAUUAUUUUUCUUAUUGCUAUAAUCAAAUUUUUUUUGUGACUUUUUUCAUUAAUUCUAUGUAAUGUUUUCAUAGAAUUUAAUAAUAAAGAAUUGAAGAACUCUAAAAAUGUUAAAUAUAUACUAUAAGGUAAUUACUUUAAUGACUCUAUUCGUUUUGGUUGAAAUAUUGAGAACAAAUUUAAUCUAAACCCCAAACUUUGAGGACUAAACAUGCAUUUAUUUCCUUCUUCCUUCUUUACUUGUUAUUCUCCCCAAAAAAAGGAAAAAAAAAAGGGACAAAGCACCAUAAAACCCUGAAAACCCACCUAAAACCCUAAUCAGAACCGCAACCCACCAAAAACGAUGGAUGCCAUAGCAGCCGCAGAAGAACGAAUAGUAAGCGAUAGAUUGAGGCAAAAAUUGAAUGAAGUCAAUACAGCUGCUCAAUCCCAACUCUCACCUGUCCAAGACCAUGUUAAUUUCACCCUUCAGGUCUUCUUCUGCACAAUUUUUUUUGGGUUCAUUUUUUCUUCAAAUAUUUGAGACAAUUGAUUAAUUGAAACGAUGUUUUUUUUUUUGCUUUUUUUUUUUUGGUUUUGGUGAGGCAGCAAGCUUAUUUCAAGUGUGCAUAUGAGUGUUUUGACAGAAGAAGAAAGAAUGAGGAGAUAAGUAACUGUGUGGAGCAUUGUAGCGUCCCUGUUCUUCAAGCCCAGAAUCUCGUUGAAUCUGAGAUGGCCAAGUUUCAGGUUACUUUUUAUGAUUACUUUUCUUGGUUUGGGCCUUUUUGGUUGCAGAGUUUUGAGUGUGGAUUGUAGAUUCUUGAAUCCUUGGUGUCUGUUGUAAGAUAUUUUACUAUAUGAUUUCCGGUAGAAUUUGUGAAUAUACUUGUGCAGAUAGUUGACGUUGGAUGUUGAUUAAGUAUUUCUUAGUCUAUUUGUUUUUCCUGUGGGCUUUGAAUGGCAAAAUGGGUGAGGUUAUCCUUCUUCGAAUGUUGGUUUGAUUGUUUAAUUGUGACGUUGUGGAGAAAGUCAUCAGGUCACUCCUCCCCCUCCCCCCCGCAUUGCAUUCAUGCCAGUGGAGCUCCCAAUGAUUGAACCAAAGAAAAGAGUUUCAGCCUUGUCUGAAUCCAGUUUGAUGAAAUUACUGCUAAACCUGAGGGAGUUAUGCAAUCUGCUGAUUUUUUUUUUCACAUUUAUCUGUCUCAGUUGUCUUGUUCGUUAGUUAACCUGUGAUAUGUUGAGACAGUUUAUUUGAAUACUGGUUAAUAUAAGCUUCUUAUGGUGAGCAUGAGCCAUAUAUUGUGUAAGAAGGGCUUGUGAUAUGCCCUUUUUUUUGCCUUAUUUGCCUUCAUGAUUAUGGCAGCUCCCAAUGAUCGGACCCCUUGUAAAAGUUUCAGCCUUGUCUGAACACAAUUUGAUGAAAUCCUUUUAAAUCUGAGGGAGUUAUGCAAUACUCUGAGUUCUAUUUUUCUUUUUGUGCUUCAAAAGAUAUACGUUACCAGGGGAAAAAAAUGCUUAUAGGUUGAACAAAACUUGUUUAUGUAGUCUUGCCUGCUGCAGUUGUAUGUGCAGGUAUGGCUUCAGUUACUGUCACCUGACACAGCUGCUAACUUACUUUUGUUUGGAUAGCCAACAUAAAAUUGUAAGCUGUGUCAAUGUUACUCAUGUAAGAGGAGGACAUUAAUCUGUAGUUUCCUGCCCAUAUUGCUCCCAAUGAUUGAAUCAAAGAUAAAAGUUUCAGCCUUGCCUGAAUAGAGUUUGUUGAUAUAGCUUCUGAGUCUGAGGGAGUUGCGGUAUUCAUUUUUCUGUAUCUUGCCUCGUUGAUGAUCUUACAAGUUGGGCAAUAUUUGUACUUGACAUUUUAUUCUGUGGUCGAGAGAUGCAUUGAUCUUAGCAUACUCUUCCAGUUAAGUUGUAAACACACCGUACUAUGGGAAAGUUCUUGUUUUAUCCUUGUCAGUUGCCAGAUGUAUGUUAUCUUUUUCCUCUCAACAAGGAAUUUAAACAUGUCAAAGUUGAAUUACAAGCAGAUAGAGAUAUAUGGAUUUGAGCUCUGUUUCUCUUUUCUACGUGGAAGAACUUUUUGCCAAACAAAAAGUGAAUAGGGAGAGCACAAGGUUUUAUCUUAUCUGUUCUUAAUGUUUUGUCUUUUUAAAUCUAGACUUAUAGGUGUUUAGUGGUUGCUACCAGAAGCAAUUGCACAUAUAUUCAAGACAAGUUAGUUCAGUAUAGGUGGUAUAACUUGUUAUGGUAGUUUAUAUUGUUGCUUGCUUGAUAGAAAGUUAUCACUUUUCUGUUCCUUGUGUAUCCUUGCUUAUGGCAGCUCCCAAUGAUUGGACCAAAUAUAAGUGUUUCAGCCUUGUCUGAAUGCUGCUUGAUGAAACAGCUUUCUAAUCUGAGGGAAUUAUGCAAUCUGCUGAUUUCUGUUUUUCUUUUUUUCAUUUUGCCUUCAGUUGGUCAUCGUACUCUGAACUUUUCUUGUAAUGUCAAGUGUAUAAUGUGAUUGGAAGAAACAUGCAUCCAUAAUUUCUCUUUUCCAGUUAAGUUUUGUAAAGCUCAAUGAUACAGGUGGAUGUUUAGUAUUUCAUCAUUUCUGACUGCAGAUUCUGAAGACUAGCUUAUAUAUGGAUACAUUUUACACUUGAGGUGCAGAUUCAUAAGAUUUGAGGGAAACAUAGAGAUGUAGGUGCAGAAUUUCAAUUUGUAAAUGUGAAGAAACACAGGCAGAAAUUAGUCUAUUGGAAGAACAAGAUGUUUGUUGCAUGUUUUCUGAUUUUGCUGCAAAUUGCAUAUCAUUUGGGAUCAAAAUUGCUGACAUAGUCAGACAAAUUAUUCUGAUGUUGGUUCACAUAAACCUAUUAUUGUUAGUGUCAACUGUUGUUUCUUUAAGUGGGAAGGAGUGAUUCCUUGUGUUUCCUUUACGUCCAUGCCUGUGCAGCUUCCACAAGAAAGAAGUUUCAGCCUUGCCUGCACAGUGUGAUGAAUUACCUCUCAUGUCUGCAGAAGUUAUGCUAUUUGCUGAGUUUUGUUUCUGGUUUUUGUUUGGUGUUGUAUCUUUGUUGAGUUACGUGUGAAUUUCUUCAGAGCUUAAAGUUCCAGAGUUUCUUUUUAGUUUUGUUUCUUUUAUCGCAUAGUGAAUGCAUGCCUUUCCCUUACGUGUGAUAGAAGUCAUAUUGCGAAGUCUUGGUUCUUUUUCAUGGCUUUGAGAUUGGAAGAUCUAAACAUCUUUUUACUUGAUUCAGGAACGCCUGAAUAGGGCUUUGAUGGUCUGCCAAGACAAAUUUGAGACAGCCAAGCUCCAACGAAGCAGGGGCGAUGCCAUGAAGGAUUUAGAAUCAUGUGUUGAUCAGUCAGUCCAGGACAGUGUCAAGACAUUGCCUUCGCUUGUCGAUAGACUGAAAACUGCUCUUUCAUUCAGUGAAUAGGUGCAAAACCUUAGAAUUCAGCUGUAUACGCUGAUAAACAACUCUAACCCUUCUGAUAGAGCAUUUUCAGCAUAUUGAUUUAUGCCAUUGUAUGAUGAGGCAAUCUUUGAAGUUUAUCCUAUCCGACGACAUAUUGUUUUGUUCAAUAGUAGAUAAUACAAAAUUUUUAAAUUUUAUAAUUCAAGAUUUAUGCAUAGAAAAUGAACAUGCCUUCUCAAAUCUGGUGCACCAGAAUCAAGGGUAAUUUUGGUAUACCAGACUCCGGAUUAGCAAUUCCGAGCAUCUCAGGCAAUACAAAACUUUGAGAACUUGUUUCUAGCAUGAUACUCUUCCACCCUGUACGGGUGGUGUAGCAUGACUAUGAGCAUGAAUCAUCCUGUAUAAUGUGAACAAGCAAAAAGCCUAAAGGCCCAGAGAUAGGCAGCAACUACCAGUUCCAGGAAUUGGGUGCAAGGCCUCCAUUUGCUUAACAACUAAAACUGCAAACUGCAGAAAACAUUUAUUUGAUUAGAAAGUCGAUACACAAAAAGAUGCCAAGGAAAAGAAACCAUGGCCAUACUGCAAAAAUAACAGCACCAGCAUGUAAAAUUAUACUAUGGUUUUAUAACGCACAGGAUUAAGCUCAACAUUCAUAUAGAAAAAUCCAUUUUUAAGUUCAAUAUCCAUUGGCAAACGGUACAGUAUGUUGAGUCCCAGACAUGGUUCAAAGUCGUGGUCGCGAUCCGGAUCGUUCCACAUCAGUCUUGGCAUAUUGGUCACGGUCUCGGCGAGACGCAAAUUUUUGAAAUAUUUAAUAUUCUAAAAAUUGUAAAAAAUAUGAUAAACAAAAAUAAUUAAAAAAAUUAGCAAAAAUAAUAAAAAUUCGAGUUGAUUCGGGAUGACUCGGAGCGACUUGACCGUUUCUAUCCGUUUCGGAGACAUCUCGGCCGAGUUCUCAGCGAUUCAUUAUCUCGAAAUCAUCUCGUUCCGAUAUCAAAUCAGAAAGCCCCGCUCCGGUAACAACUCGAGACUCGUCUCGAUCUCGACCGAGUCUUUGAACCAUGGUCACAAAUGACCUAAGCAGCAAGUGACCGGAGGGACUUACCAUACAAAGAACAUUAAAGUAAGCACAUAUUUUCAAGACAUCUCGUGGUUAUCAAUGGAGAAUCAAAUAAAUUUGUUAAUUCAAGUACUUGAAUUCAGUUUGUUAGGUAUUAAUACUAAUUGCCGUGUUGCCUGUGAGAUAACUUCAGUUGACCGGAAAAUGUGAAGAUGCACCUUGAUAAUUUGAGACACUAGUUCCUCUGUUGCUUCACAAACACCAGCUAGAAAGAGAUCACAAUGCAGCAUCUUCCUGGUAGUUCUAGAAAAUCUCAAUAUGGCAAGCUGAAAUAUUGGCAAAUUGUAUUUUACCAUUCAUAAACUUGAUAUCAUUAUUGUCGACUGCUGUUUAUUUGCAUUUGAUUUGUAUGCUCAUAAUAGGUACGCCUCACCAACAAUUUGAUGGUCAAAAACACAAAAUCAUCAGUCUUUCCAUUAACGUCCUGGCUAUUAUAAAUGUGGUAAAAAUGUCAAAGAGAACUCAUGGUUCCUUUUGCAGCCAAUUCUCCUGUGUAACAUGAGUUUGUUGUAAUCGUAUGAUCCAAAGUCCACCAAAGCUUCAGGUCCCAAAUCAUCACUACUGUGUCCUAAACAAAUGAACACACACAGACCCUUAGACCAUGACAUUCGCUGGUUCCAGAGAAAGUACGUUGCGUGGAUACUUCAACAAAAUUGCACUUCCACAAGAUAACUACAUGCAAGAAGCUCAAUAAUGAAAAAUUAUGUAGGUCUUUGUAUCGAACUGUUCUUGAACAAAGCUUGAUAGGCAAGAACAAUUACAAAAACAGUUUGUAUUCCACAUUCCAUCCAAGUCACGUUAUUAUAUGCACAACAAAUAUUACAUUAGGCCUUUGGUGCGAAGCCUUCUUGUGUCUCAGUCUUGCGUUUUUCUGCUUCAAAUUUAUCAAUGGCUACCU